AUGUGAGGGUUUUGAACGAAUGUCGAGGGUUUCUAUCUUAAUGUUUUGGUUCUUGUUUCACUUUUCUGAGUUCCAGUGGAAACUAAUUGUUUCUUGUUCCAAUGAUGGUUUUCCUUGAUACUUUGAGGGUUUUAGCUUCUGGGUUUUGUGUGCUUCUUUGUUAGUUUCCUCAGUUUCUUAGAUCAUAUUAUGAUUGUAUUUCUUGUUUUAGUUUCAAAAAUGCUAAAAGUUAUGGAAGUGAUGCUAGAUUGGUAACUCAAUUGAGGGGAUGAUGAAGAAAGAGAGGAUCUUGGUCAGUAACCUAAAGGCUCCAUUCUGGUUUCAUGUUUCUGAGUUCAAGUGGAAAUUAAUUGUUUCUAGUUACCAACCUUGCAUCACUUUCAUAAGUUUUAGCAUUUUUGAAACUAAAACAAGAAAUGCAAUGAUAAUACGGCCCAAGAAACUAACAAAGAAGCAAAAAUAACUAAGAAGGUAAAACCCUCCAAGAAUCGAGGAAAACCAUAAUUGGAACAAGAAACAAUUAAUUUCCAUUGGAACUCAGAAAAGUGAAACAAGAACCAAACCGUUAGGAUAAAAACCCUCCCAUGAUAAGGAUCACAAAAAAAGGAAGAACGAGAAGAGAGAAGGGAAAAAGAGAGGAGAUAUAACAUACCGAGAACAUCGAGAUACUUUGGUCGGUGAAGGAUUCGUAGUAAAUAUGGAUCUUGGAUUUCUAAUGGCAUACCUUCCAUCUGUAGUUCAGCGAGGGGCCUUCUUUGCUUCAUCUGCUCCCUCUCGUAUCGUCUGCAAUGAAGGGGGAAACAAAGUGAGUGAAAGGUGCGAGCCUUAUUUUAUAGGAGAAGAGAUGGCGGUGGGUCCCCUCUUGAGCCGUGUGGUGCCAAUUGCCAGUGCGUCGCCCGAAACAAGAGUAGAAAAAAAGGUCCAAGCCCUACUUAUAGGAGCGGAGAUGGCAAUGGCUCCCUUACUGAUCCAUGUAGCGCCAGCCGUCAUUGGAUUGCACGCAUAUAAUGGUAUUUUUUCUGAUGAGAUGCGUGACCUUCAUUUUAGCUGAUCUAGGUGAUCCCAUCCAUUCAUUUCUUCAUGACUCACUGCUGGUGUGAACAGAAUCCGAGAUCUCUAAGAUAGUGUUUGGUGAUCCAAAUGAGAUCACCACAGUGAUUUAAAAUUACUGAUGAUUUGAAUUCUGUUGUGAUCUGAUCACGAGUAAUCUAAAAUCACUGUAUUUAGUGGACCACA
This 1236-nucleotide long non-coding RNA is filed under the name Elaeis guineensis (African oil palm). RNAcentral's name for it is "long non-coding RNA (EGUI_LNC002760)". Lineage: Eukaryota; Viridiplantae; Streptophyta; Magnoliopsida; Arecales; Arecaceae. The record is from RNAcentral.